RNAcentral lists this ribosomal RNA (1443 nucleotides) under uncultured organism. Its description in RNAcentral is "SSU rRNA". It matches the Rfam family "Bacterial small subunit ribosomal RNA". The record is from RNAcentral.
CAGGCUUAACACAUGCAAGUCGAGGGGCAGCAUGGUCUUAGCUUGCUAAGGCCGAUGGCGACCGGCGCACGGGUGAGUAACACGUAUCCAACCUGCCGUCUACUCUUGGACAGCCUUCUGAAGGGAAGAUUAAUACAAGAUGGCAUCAUGAGUCCGCAUGUUCACAUGAUUAAAGGUAUUCCGGUAGACGAUGGGGAUGCGUUCCAUUAGAUAGUAGGCGGGGUAACGGCCCACCUAGUCUUCGAUGGAUAGGGGUUCUGAGAGGAAGGUCCCCCACAUUGGAACUGAGACACGGUCCAAACUCCUACGGGAGGCAGCAGUGAGGAAUAUUGGUCAAUGGGCGAGAGCCUGAACCAGCCAAGUAGCGUGAAGGAUGACUGCCCUAUGGGUUGUAAACUUCUUUUAUAAAGGAAUAAAGUCGGGUAUGGAUACCCGUUUGCAUGUACUUUAUGAAUAAGGAUCGGCUAACUCCGUGCCAGCAGCCGCGGUAAUACGGAGGAUCCGAGCGUUAUCCGGAUUUAUUGGGUUUAAAGGGAGCGUAGAUGGAUGUUUAAGUCAGUUGUGAAAGUUUGCGGCUCAACCGUAAAAUUGCAGUUGAUACUGGAUAUCUUGAGUGCAGUUGAGGCAGGCGGAAUUCGUGGUGUAGCGGUGAAAUGCUUAGAUAUCACGAAGAACUCCGAUUGCGAAGGCAGCCUGCUAAGCUGCAACUGACAUUGAGGCUCGAAAGUGUGGGUAUCAAACAGGAUUAGAUACCCUGGUAGUCCACACGGUAAACGAUGAAUACUCGCUGUUUGCGAUAUACGGCAAGCGGCCAAGCGAAAGCGUUAAGUAUUCCACCUGGGGAGUACGCCGGCAACGGUGAAACUCAAAGGAAUUGACGGGGGCCCGCACAAGCGGAGGAACAUGUGGUUUAAUUCGAUGAUACGCGAGGAACCUUACCCGGGCUUAAAUUGCAGAUGAAUUACGGUGAAAGCCGUAAGCCGCAAGGCAUCUGUGAAGGUGCUGCAUGGUUGUCGUCAGCUCGUGCCGUGAGGUGUCGGCUUAAGUGCCAUAACGAGCGCAACCCUUGUUGUCAGUUACUAACAGGUUCCGCUGAGGACUCUGACAAGACUGCCAUCGUAAGAUGUGAGGAAGGUGGGGAUGACGUCAAAUCAGCACGGCCCUUACGUCCGGGGCUACACACGUGUUACAAUGGGGGGUACAGAGGGCCGCUACCACGCGAGUGGAUGCCAAUCCCCAAAACCUCUCUCAGUUCGGACUGGAGUCUGCAACCCGACUCCACGAAGCUGGAUUCGCUAGUAAUCGCGCAUCAGCCACGGCGCGGUGAAUACGUUCCCGGGCCUUGUACACACCGCCCGUCAAGCCAUGGGAGCCGGGGGUACCUGAAGUGCGUAACCGCGAGGAGCGCCCUAGGGUAAAACUGGUGACUGGGGCUAAGUCAUA